RNAcentral lists this ribosomal RNA (91 nucleotides) under Bacillus thuringiensis. The record is from RNAcentral. Lineage: Bacteria; Bacillati; Bacillota; Bacilli; Caryophanales; Bacillaceae. RNAcentral also lists the same sequence under 1 other name.
GGUAAUGAUGGCAGAGAGGUCACACCCGUUCCCAUACCGAACACGGAAGUUAAGCUCUCUAGCGCCGAUGGUAGUUGGGACCUUGUCCCUG